UACGAAGGGGGCUAGCGUUGUUCGGAAUUACUGGGCGUAAAGCGUAUGUAGGCGGAUCUUUAAGUCAGGGGUGAAAUCCCGAGGCUCAACCUCGGAACUGCCCUUGAUACUGGAGAUCUGGAGUCCGGGAGAGGUGAGUGGAACUGCGAGUGUAGAGGUGAAAUUCGUAGAUAUUCGCAAGAACACCAGUGGCGAAGGCGGCUCACUGGCCCGGUACUGACGCUGAAAUACGAAAGCGUGGGGAGCAAACAGG
Molecule: ribosomal RNA, 253 nt
Filed under: uncultured bacterium
Lineage: Bacteria
Description: partial 16S ribosomal RNA
Rfam family: Bacterial small subunit ribosomal RNA
Source: RNAcentral